UUUCCCUUUUCUAUCUGGUUGCAUGCCUUCGUAGGAGGGGAGCAAACCCUAGUCGCCAUCUCCAAAGAUUGGAAAGAAGGGAGGCAUUCCCUUCUGAAGCAAAACCCUGGUGCCACCUCCUUUGUGUGAAGUUUGUUGGUGUUCUCAAGUUUUCAUGAUCUGAAAAAAGUACACAAUAAUUAAUAUCAGAGCCAGUUUGAGC
RNAcentral lists this long non-coding RNA (202 nucleotides) under Elaeis guineensis (African oil palm). Its description in RNAcentral is "long non-coding RNA (EGUI_LNC069521)". Lineage: Eukaryota; Viridiplantae; Streptophyta; Magnoliopsida; Arecales; Arecaceae. The record is from RNAcentral.